UUACCCAAUUAAACAAGGUUCUGCAAACUUUAGUUGAGGGACUUCAGUGGCAGUGCAUAUAAAAAAAGCUGUCUUCAGCAGCGGCCAGACAACCGUAGAGAUGGAUCCACAGGUGGUAGGUUUAAUAUACCAAUUGUCUACUGAUUUCAUCUCACAUGA
Small nucleolar RNA from Dioscorea cayenensis subsp. rotundata (Guinea yam), 159 nucleotides. RefSeq annotates it as small nucleolar RNA snoR143. NCBI's taxonomy places the organism in Eukaryota, Viridiplantae, Streptophyta, Magnoliopsida, Dioscoreales, Dioscoreaceae. The record is from RefSeq and is a predicted model, not a curated record. The transcript has a single exon.